CACUAAUUGGUGUUUCGUGGCGACAUCGUCGCUACUAAAGUUGAGCUUUUGUAUCAACUUCUUAGGUCGUUACUAAUAUUUUUAUUUUAAUAUCGGUACUUCAAUUUCUUAAUUUAGAUAAUUCAAAAAGAAAAGAGAAAGGAGAAACACAAAACAUAAAGAAACUCAAAAUGAUUAAAAGAAAAACCUAAAAUGGUUUCCCCCCUUGCAAUUCGGAAACCCAUUUAGGGAGUUAUCUAUCUACCUCUUCCAAAUCUGAAAACCCAAAAUCCCUCUAAAUUCCCCAAUUCCCUCUCCCAUUCCUACUUUACCCAAUUUCCUCUCCCUAAAAUUCCUCCUCAAUUUUGCUGCUUAUCUUCUAUUGCAAAUUCACCUCUUUCCUCAUUCCCCCUUUGGUUUAUUUGUUUAUUUAGAUACAUAGCAAAAUCAUUAGAAAUAUAGCCUCACCUACUCCGGCCAAAUUGUCUCACAGAAAGAGAACCACUCCCGUCGCUGGCGAAAUCUCUUCUUUCCGUCUCAUUCUCUGGAAAAUAGAACAUUGAGUUCCUUAUCAUUUUUUUUCUGUAGAUUUUGUGCUCUGUGCUCUCACGUGACCCAUUUUCUAUGUUUUGAUGGUAUGCUUUGUUGCAUUGGUGUAUGUUUCUGAAUCGGUUCGCCGACGUGGUUUUACACAUUUGAACCAUUUCUCUUCCAUCUUCCUCACCUGUUGAGGUAUGUUUUUCUUUUUUCAAGAUAUUUUCAUCAGUUUCUGAUUUUUGUUUGGUUGUAUAUAUAUAUCAUUUGGAUGUAUUUUCAAUUUCCAAUCCCAGAGAAAUAGGAGCAAUAGAAGCUCCUCCUUUGCUUGAUGAAAUUCAAUGAUGGAUGUAUUGCUCUCUUUGAUGAGUUUUCUCUUUUGCUCUUGGUAUAAGUAUCCAUUUGGACAUAGAUUGUCCUUCUAUUCCUAUCUGCUGCCAAGUACUACUGUUGCGAUAGCUAACGAUUUAUUUCUAAUAUAAUAAAAAUCCUUGCUAAUGUGUUAUGUGAGUUUAUUUGAGGAGAUAAAUUGCAAGCAUAUAUUUUUUUACUGGUUAGUUGUAGCAAUAUUAUCAAUUUAAUCUAAUUCGUGCAAGACAGUUUAAAUAAAUUAUAUUGCCUUAUACCAAUAUAAGAAAAGUUACUUUUCUUGAACCAAUUUAUGUAUAGUUAUAUGCAUAAUCUCUAUGAUGAGUUCUCUGGUGGCCCUCCUCCCUAUUGGUUUGCUUACUGUAAUCUAUCUUUCCUUCUCUGCGUACUCGGUUUAUCUAUUUUCUUAAAAUGAAAAUACGAACAAAUCUGGAUUAACUUUCUUAUAUGAUUAUUAUGUUAGAUUUUGUUUGUUGGAUAUGAGUUCUCUUUGAUAUUAUCGUUUAGAUUUGCACUGCAAUUUGCAAUUAUUCAUGUUUAUAAUUUAGGGACAAGUAUUAUCACAUUUGUUCUAGGGUUACAUAUUGAGAUAAUUAGUGUACACAUAAAUAUUGUUGUUCUGUAUGCAGGUGAUGAAUGUUUACAAUAAGUAGUAUAUGCCUUUAAAAGAUUAGUGAUCUAGGUGCUUAAUUGCUGGCAGAAAAAGAGAAUUGGGGUAUUAAAGUACAUGUUUAUUUGCUUUAAGAAUCGUUGUUGGUUGUUCAAGAAUUUUCAUCUUUUUGAAAACUAAAAAAGAAAAGGCCUUCGGACUGAUUUUUUCUUCUAUAUCAUGCAGGAUACUCCAUGGAAUCUACUCAACCAUCAUUUUUUGGGACUGGAUAUUUUCUUUGGCAGAUAGAUUUAUCCCUUGUUAGGUGUGUUUUCUAUUCUUCAUUUUUUCUUGAGUUUAGAACAUCCAGAUUUUGAUUCUUUGAUCUGCUUCUUAUAUUAUGUUGUCCCCUGUAAGAAAUUAUCAUUGGAAGGUUAAUAAAGAAAUGCUUUAAACUAGAAGAUUAAUUGCAGCCCAAUAGCCUGAUUUUCCUGCUCGUUUCUAUCAUCACUUUGGAGGAGUCCGAGAAUGGGCUGAAGCGAUGAGAGAUGUUUGAAGAAGAAAACUUGUAGAACUUGGAACAACUUCAUGUAUUAAUGUAUGACUAUGAAAUAAAGAAAAAAUUGAAAUCUUUAAAUGAUAUGAAACCAUGUUAGAUUCGAUAGGAUGUCGGGACUAUUAUAAGGAGCUUAUUCUUUAAGUUUGAGACAAAAUCCUGGGGCUGCAUAAUAUAUGUAUUAACUAUAGCAAUACUACUAUCUUCUACCUUCACUAUAUUGGCACAGAGGAAAUUAUAUCUUUAGAUUAUACAACUUCAUUGUUAUGAGGGCUCUAUCUACUCAGUUGAAUUACCCCCAGCUACUUCUAUCUUGAAGCUCCAGAUUAUUGUUCUAGUUAUCGAGUUCUACCACCAUUUAUUCUGUACAUUUAAGCACUUUUACCUGUUAUUUUGUGUAAACCACAAAAUAUUAUGUUCAGUGCAUAAACUAAAAAAAGUUUUUGCUGCUUCUGACCAUUCAUUUUAGUGUGUUAUAUAGUGUUCCUACAAGAUAAUUGUGACUCAAUUAUGUGUAAAACGAUAUUUAGUUUCUUUUUGACAAUAAAAUGUUGGCUUGUAAUAUAGUGUUGCGUGUUUAUGUGAAAUUUAGGUUUCUAAUUAGGCCUAUGAAGCACUCGAUAAAAUGCCGAGAGAAAUCAGGGUUUAUAAUUUGUUAUAAUUUUGAGAGUGCAAGCCUAUUUAUGAUAUUGUGCAUGCAGAAGCGUCUGUCUAAGUUAUACUAGUCUAUUUUCGCUGAAGUAUUCUAAUACCCAAAAGUGACUUCUGGAUGUGCUAUAUAUAGCAAAACUGCUUUAUUUUUGGAUUACACAAAAUGUUCAAAGGUGAUAAAUUAGUUUCUUUCAUUUCAUAUUUGUCUCCCUAAAAAAUAAUUUAGAGUUGCUGAUUUACAAAUUAGUUUGUAGUUUCUGAACCCUUUUACCUGUUUUUCUUGCCAAAUACUUUGAGCUUUUAGGCAAUGUAAGAGAAAUAUGUAUUAGUGUAAAGAUUGUGUAUCCUUUUCGAAUUUGCUCUCUACUUUAAAGGCAGACCUUUUCAGUUAUGUUCUCUGUACUUUAAGUUGUCUUGACUAGUGGGUGUAAGCAACUUUAUGUGGUCAUUCUUUUUUACGAUUAGUGUUAUUAUGGGAAUUGUCAAAGUAAUCCUGUAUUUUUUCCUUAAUAACAGGGACACGUACUUGCACAAUCACAAAUGGAGUCGAACAAAGAGGAGCUUGAAGGCCCUUAAUAUUUUAUUUUUAUUUUUCAUAUAUGUGCACAAUGAUAAUGAAUAAUGAAGUAUUCUACUGUAUAUUUAAUUGCCUUUUAGUAAUGAAAGUAUUUAUAAUAUUCCGCUUGAAAAUAUUUUUGGUGUUUGUUGAAUGAUAUUGGAUGCUUUUAAUAUUGGUAAACGAUUCACAUGAAUAUACUUGUGUACUAACUUAAAAAGAAAAUAAGGUUGCCACUGGAAGACUAUUAAGAUUUAAAACAUAG
RNAcentral lists this long non-coding RNA (3499 nucleotides) under Nicotiana tabacum (common tobacco). RNAcentral's name for it is "long non-coding RNA (NTAB_LNC004259)". The record is from RNAcentral. Lineage: Eukaryota; Viridiplantae; Streptophyta; Magnoliopsida; Solanales; Solanaceae.